GGGUUGUGAGGUUAAGCGACUAAGCGUACACGGUGGAUGCCCUGGCAGUCAGAGGCGAUGAAGGACGUGCUAAUCUGCGAUAAGCGUCGGUAAGGUGAUAUGAACCGUUAUAACCGGCGAUUUCCGAAUGGGGAAACCCAGUGUGUUUCGACACACUAUCAUUAACUGAAUCCAUAGGUUAAUGAGGCGAACCGGGGGAACUGAAACAUCUAAGUACCCCGAGGAAAAGAAAUCAACCGAGAUUCCCCCAGUAGCGGCGAGCGAACGGGGAGCAGCCCAGAGCCUGAAUCAGUAUGUGUGUUAGUGGAAGCGUCUGGAAAGGCGCGCGAUACAGGGUGACAGCCCCGUACACAAAAAUGCACAUGCUGUGAGCUCGAUGAGUAGGGCGGGACACGUGGUAUCCUGUCUGAAUAUGGGGGGACCAUCCUCCAAGGCUAAAUACUCCUGACUGACCGAUAGUGAACCAGUACCGUGAGGGAAAGGCGAAAAGAACCCCGGCGAGGGGAGUGAAAAAGAACCUGAAACCGUGUACGUACAAGCAGUGGGAGCACGCUUAGGCGUGUGACUGCGUACCUUUUGUAUAAUGGGUCAGCGACUUAUAUUCUGUAGCAAGGUUAACCGAAUAGGGGAGCCGAAGGGAAACCGAGUCUUAACUGGGCGUUAAGUUGCAGGGUAUAGACCCGAAACCCGGUGAUCUAGCCAUGGGCAGGUUGAAGGUUGGGUAACACUAACUGGAGGACCGAACCGACUAAUGUUGAAAAAUUAGCGGAUGACUUGUGGCUGGGGGUGAAAGGCCAAUCAAACCGGGAGAUAGCUGGUUCUCCCCGAAAGCUAUUUAGGUAGCGCCUCGUGAAUUCAUCUCCGGGGGUAGAGCACUGUUUCGGCAAGGGGGUCAUCCCGACUUACCAACCCGAUGCAAACUGCGAAUACCGGAGAAUGUUAUCACGGGAGACACACGGCGGGUGCUAACGUCCGUCGUGAAGAGGGAAACAACCCAGACCGCCAGCUAAGGUCCCAAAGUCAUGGUUAAGUGGGAAACGAUGUGGGAAGGCCCAGACAGCCAGGAUGUUGGCUUAGAAGCAGCCAUCAUUUAAAGAAAGCGUAAUAGCUCACUGGUCGAGUCGGCCUGCGCGGAAGAUGUAACGGGGCUAAACCAUGCACCGAAGCUGCGGCAGCGACGCUGAUGCGUUGUUGGGUAGGGGAGCGUUCUGUAAGCCUGCGAAGGUGUGCUGUGAGGCAUGCUGGAGGUAUCAGAAGUGCGAAUGCUGACAUAAGUAACGAUAAAGCGGGUGAAAAGCCCGCUCGCCGGAAGACCAAGGGUUCCUGUCCAACGUUAAUCGGGGCAGGGUGAGUCGACCCCUAAGGCGAGGCCGAAAGGCGUAGUCGAUGGGAAACAGGUUAAUAUUCCUGUACUUGGUGUUACUGCGAAGGGGGGACGGAGAAGGCUAUGUUGGCCGGGCGACGGUUGUCCCGGUUUAAGCGUGUAGGCUGGUUUUCCAGGCAAAUCCGGAAAAUCAAGGCUGAGGCGUGAUGACGAGGCACUGCGGUGCUGAAGCAACAAAUGCCCUGCUUC
RNAcentral lists this ribosomal RNA (1573 nucleotides) under Escherichia coli. Its description in RNAcentral is "partial 23S ribosomal RNA". It matches the Rfam family "Bacterial large subunit ribosomal RNA", at positions 1 to 1608 of the family's 2925-position model. The record is from RNAcentral. Lineage: Bacteria; Pseudomonadati; Pseudomonadota; Gammaproteobacteria; Enterobacterales; Enterobacteriaceae.